Long non-coding RNA from Labeo rohita (rohu), 618 nucleotides. RefSeq lists it as uncharacterized. The record is from RefSeq and is a predicted model, not a curated record. NCBI's taxonomy places the organism in Eukaryota, Metazoa, Chordata, Actinopteri, Cypriniformes, Cyprinidae. The transcript has 3 exons.
UGUGUAAUGCUUGACUUAUUUUUAUUUAUUUUUUCUUCCUUUUACAUUCUCAGAUAUUAUUGUACAUAGUGUUAUUUAUUUAUUUAUUUGUUUGUUUUAUACCAUUAAUGUAAUGUUUGUAUUCUUUUUCUUUUGAGUACUGAUUUCCAUCUAGUCUUGAGUGCAAAGUUUAGCUCCAGCCCCAAUCAUGUACAGCUGAACCAGCUGAUCAGGGUCUUCAGGAUUACCACAGACUUCCAAGCAGGCGUGUGGACAGGUUGGAGCUGAACUCUGUCAGAUGUUGGUUCAGGAAGUGAUCCUGCAUCUCUUCUUAAAGAGCCACCAGGUUGCUGCUUUAAAGCUGCACAUUCAUGCAUCAAGUUAAAAUGAUGGAACAAAAAGCAGGCUGGCCACAGCAUCUGAAAUGGAAACAUCUAUUAAAAUGCCUCUGCAGUAUAAGACACUUGGGAUGGUGGAAAGAGCAGAAGAACAGCGAUCAGGCAGAGUUCUACUGUUGCCCCUUAGGGAACUGAUUUAUAAUCUACUUAACGUUCUGAUUUAGUAAUAAUUGAUCAUUGCUCUGUCCUAUAAAAUUAUUUAAUACAUUCCACUGUUCAGUAGUUUGGGGUCAGUAUUUUA